Molecule: ribosomal RNA, 254 nt
Filed under: uncultured bacterium
Lineage: Bacteria
Description: partial 16S ribosomal RNA
Rfam family: Bacterial small subunit ribosomal RNA
Source: RNAcentral
UACGUAGGGAGCAAGCGUUGUCCGGAAUCAUUGGGCGUAAAGCGCGCGUAGGUGGCUUCGUAAGUCCGUUGUGAAAGUCAAAGGCUCAACCUUUGAAAGCCGAUGGAUACUGUGGAGCUAGAGUACGGAAGAGGCGAGUGGAAUUCCUGGUGUAGCGGUGGAAUGCGCAGAUAUCAGGAGGAACACCAAUAGCGAAGGCAGCUCGCUGGGACGUUAACUGACACUGAGGCGCGAAAGCGUGGGGAGCGAACAGG